CACAUGGCAGUCCCAUUGCACCCCGCCCCAUCCCCUUGAGCCCUCGCCCCGGCCCCCGUACGUUCUUGAACACGA
This 75-nucleotide transfer RNA is filed under the name Streptomyces hygroscopicus subsp. jinggangensis TL01. RNAcentral describes it as "tRNA-Cys". The record is from RNAcentral. Lineage: Bacteria; Bacillati; Actinomycetota; Actinomycetes; Kitasatosporales; Streptomycetaceae.